Molecule: transfer RNA, 76 nt
Filed under: Pantoea rwandensis
Lineage: Bacteria; Pseudomonadati; Pseudomonadota; Gammaproteobacteria; Enterobacterales; Erwiniaceae
Description: tRNA-Thr
Rfam family: tRNA
About the family: Transfer RNA (tRNA) molecules are approximately 80 nucleotides in length. Their secondary structure includes four short double-helical elements and three loops (D, anti-codon, and T loops).
Source: RNAcentral
GCCGGUAUCGCUCAGUGGGCAGAGCAGCGCACUCGUGAUGCAAAGGUCGUAGGUUCGAUUCCUAUUUCCGGCACCC